GCUAUUGUAGCUCAGUUGGUAGAGCAACGGAUUCGUAACCCGUAGGUCGGCGGUUCAAUUCCGCCCUGUAGCUCCA
This 76-nucleotide transfer RNA is filed under the name Clostridia bacterium. RNAcentral's name for it is "tRNA-Thr". It matches the Rfam family "tRNA". Rfam says of the family: Transfer RNA (tRNA) molecules are approximately 80 nucleotides in length. Their secondary structure includes four short double-helical elements and three loops (D, anti-codon, and T loops). The record is from RNAcentral. Lineage: Bacteria; Bacillati; Bacillota; Clostridia.